Molecule: ribosomal RNA, 1404 nt
Filed under: Triticum aestivum (bread wheat)
Lineage: Eukaryota; Viridiplantae; Streptophyta; Magnoliopsida; Poales; Poaceae
Description: partial small subunit ribosomal RNA
Source: RNAcentral
AUGGCUGCUGCUGCGGCGGCGGCGGAGUGGUUCAUCCUGUACGCCAUCCCGAAGGUGGCAGCGCAGGAGGAUGAUAGCAUCUUCGAGCAGCCCACCAACAUUUCCUUCACCUUCAGAAAAGCUCCGUGCCCCUCCUACGUAACCGUCGCGAGUAACGUCGUCUGUCCCGACGGCAUCAUCCACUACCCCUACAUCGCCGCGGACGACGGCCGCGGCAUCUUUCUCCUCUGCGGUUACACCGUGCUUGGGCUCACCUACUACCUCUUCGACCCCUGGCGCCGCAGGACGCUGGGCCGGGCUAAAAAUGCAAUCGGGUCCUUAGUUUUUCUUAAAAAAGCAAUCGGGUCCUCCGCCUCCGAUGACGUGCUCCUGCGCGUUCGCCGGCACGACGCGCUCCAGUCCAGUCCAAAAGCCGGCGCCGCCACGGCGCCGUCGAUGCUGACGAUCGCCUCCGCGCCCCCUCGCUUGGCCAAUGCCGCCAGCACCGCCGCCGCCGUCUCCUCGUCGCUGAUGGCCGACAGCGCCGCCUCGGCCACGCCGGCUUCCACCAGCUUCCCCACGUUCUCCCUCUCGCCCGCCAGCGACAGCAGCGCCGCCAGCGCGUCCUUCUUUGUGCUCGUCGGGCCCGUGCGCACGAGGUGGACCAGCUUUUCCACGACGGACGGGUUCCGGCCGAGCCUGCGGCGGUACGUGUGGACGGACGCCAGGCUAAGCACGGCCGCCGCGGCGUUCUCCUUGGCGCGCCACGUCGUGCCGGAGCUCAUGAUGUGGGUCACCGCCUCGACGGCGCCGUCGGCGUGCAUGAUGCGCUUCUUGUUGGCCUCGAGGAUGGAGAGGCACCGGGACGUCGCCGGCCUCGUCCGCAGCGGCGGCGGCGACCGCCUCAUGAUCGCCGAGCUCAACACGUGGCUCCUCGACGACCGUGGCUCCGUCACGAUCCACUGCACGGUCGACAUGUACGGCUGGGACGAGAAGAAGUGCAAGUGCUCCGGCAUCACGGCCAAGAGACCGUGGCACGGAGACGGCGUCCUGUCCCACCAAGGUUUCCUCUGGUGGUUCGGUCUCUCCUAUUGCAUCCUCGCCUGCGACCCCUUCGCCGAGGUGCCGGAGUUUUACCAGAUCAUGUUCCCGUCCGUCCCUGACGCGCUGCCCUUCGGCUGGAACCGCGACAUACACCGCUGCUUAAAGGUGAGCGACGGCCAGCUGCGCUACGUUCAGAUCCAUGGUGCAUCUGAGAAGCCGGUGGUCAGCAUCUGGACGCUGUCAUCCAGUGAUCCGUCAAAGGCGACAUGGGGAAGGCCGAUCAGCCACCCCUUGGAUGUGGUUUGGGAGGACAGCAGCUACAGUGAUGAUGCCCGGUUGCGUCCGGGGGUCGUCCCUGCUGUGGCGCUGGUCCACCCAUGA